Molecule: transfer RNA, 73 nt
Filed under: Nonomuraea helvata
Lineage: Bacteria; Bacillati; Actinomycetota; Actinomycetes; Streptosporangiales; Streptosporangiaceae
Also listed under: 6 other names
Description: tRNA-Arg
Rfam family: tRNA
About the family: Transfer RNA (tRNA) molecules are approximately 80 nucleotides in length. Their secondary structure includes four short double-helical elements and three loops (D, anti-codon, and T loops).
Source: RNAcentral
GCCCCCUUAGCUCAGGGGAUAGAGCACCGGCCUCCGGAGCCGGGUGCGCAGGUUCGAAUCCUGCAGGGGGCAC